Molecule: ribosomal RNA, 465 nt
Filed under: Vreelandella stevensii
Lineage: Bacteria; Pseudomonadati; Pseudomonadota; Gammaproteobacteria; Oceanospirillales; Halomonadaceae
Description: partial 16S ribosomal RNA
Rfam family: Bacterial small subunit ribosomal RNA
Source: RNAcentral
CCUACGGGAGGCUGCAGUGGGGAAUAUUGGACAAUGGGGGCAACCCUGAUCCAGCCAUGCCGCGUGUGUGAAGAAGGCCCUCGGGUUGUAAAGCACUUUCAGUGAGGAAGAACGCCUGGUGGUUAAUACCCAUCAGGAAAGACAUCACUCACAGAAGAAGCACCGGCUAACUCCGUGCCAGCAGCCGCGGUAAUACGGAGGGUGCGAGCGUUAAUCGGAAUUACUGGGCGUAAAGCGCGCGUAGGUGGCUUGAUAAGCCGGUUGUGAAAGCCCCGGGCUCAACCUGGGAACGGCAUCCGGAACUGUCAAGCUAGAGUGCAGGAGAGGAAGGUAGAAUUCCCGGUGUAGCGGUGAAAUGCGUAGAGAUCGGGAGGAAUACCAGUGGCGAAGGCGGCCUUCUGGACUGACACUGACACUGAGGUGCGAAAGCGUGGGUAGCAAACAGGAUUAGAUACACCUGUAGUC